UCCAUUGGUCUUUAGCAUCAGCUGCUUAACGGUUCCUGGUGGCUGGCUGGGGCCAGGAGCCCCAUUCGGAAACCGGGCUGGAUAGCUCCUCGCUGAGCCUGUGCAAACGGGGGAACGCCGGCCUCUUUCACUUUCCCCUUCCAGCCAGGUGCACGGUUAGUCAGAGUAACUCAGCCGGCAGCUCUAUUUCAGUCCAGCUCCCAGUGUCGGAGGCAGCUUUAAGCGAUCGAUGUAUUUAAGCUUCUAUAGGACCUGCUGCCAAAAGACUGUGACGCCGUGGAGGAAAUCAGCUCCCUGCAGCUGAGAGCGGAGAGCGAGUUCGGGGCGCGUCUGAGCCUAAAGUCGGAGCGCACUCAGAGCAGGCCCGGUUAACACAGCGUUCCAACUCAACCAUGUCCCUCUGUGGCCAGGAUGUGAUUCAGCGGUUUGGUAGGGACAGCGUCGAUCCGACACCUGCACAGUUUUUCAGGUUUGAGCGCCCAGAACCCAGCAAAGAUCGAUUUCUGAAUGAGCAGAAGUUCACCUCAUACACCUUGAAACUACUGGGAGAGAUAACAUCACGGAGGCGCACUUCAUUCCCAAACUGUUAGAACACGAUUCCCACGGUGGGCUAGCCGGCCGGACUUGGUUAAGUGAAUAAAACUCAGAGAAAGUGCAUGACUGUUUAACAAGGACACUCUCAACCUAUAAUAAACAGGGAACAUUAGUGAAUACGGUGAUGAUCAAUAA
Molecule: long non-coding RNA, 729 nt
Organism: Pristis pectinata (smalltooth sawfish)
Lineage: Eukaryota; Metazoa; Chordata; Chondrichthyes; Rhinopristiformes; Pristidae
Exons: 4
Source: RefSeq, a predicted model, not a curated record